GACGAACGCUGGCGGCGUGCUUAACACAUGCAAGUCGAACGCUGAAGCUUGGUGCUUGCACUUGGUGGAUUAGUGGCGAACGGGUGAGUAAUAAGUGAGUAACCUGCCCUUUACUCUGGGAUAAGCCUGGGAAACUGGAUCUAAUACUGGAUACGACUUGUCACCGCAUGGUGGUGUGUGGAAAGGGUUUUCCUGGUUUUGGAUUGGCUCACUGCCUAUCAGCUUGUUGGUGUGGUAAUGGCUCACCAAGGCGACGACGGGUAGCCGGCCUGAGAGGGUGACCGGCCACACUGGGACUGAGACACGGCACAGACUCCUAAGGGAGGCAGCGGUGGGGAGUAUUGCAAAAUGGGCGGAAGCCUGAUGCAGCGACGCCGCGUGAGGAAUGACGGCUUUCGGGUUGUAAACAUCUUUCAGCAUGGAAGAAGCGAUAGUGACGGUACGUGCAGAAGAAGCGCCGGCUAACUACGUG
RNAcentral lists this ribosomal RNA (472 nucleotides) under uncultured bacterium. Its description in RNAcentral is "partial 16S ribosomal RNA". It matches the Rfam family "Bacterial small subunit ribosomal RNA", at positions 28 to 507 of the family's 1533-position model. The record is from RNAcentral.